RNAcentral lists this ribosomal RNA (466 nucleotides) under uncultured bacterium. RNAcentral's name for it is "partial 16S ribosomal RNA". It matches the Rfam family "Bacterial small subunit ribosomal RNA", at positions 28 to 507 of the family's 1533-position model. The record is from RNAcentral.
GAUGAACGCUGGCGGCGUGCUUAACACAUGCAAGUCGAACGAUGAAGCCCAGCUUGCUGGGUGGAUUAGUGGCGAACGGGUGAGUAACACGUGAGUAACCUGCCCUUAACUCUGGGAUAAGCCUGGGAAACUGGGUCUAAUACCGGAUAGGAGCGUCCACCGCAUGGUGGGUGUUGGAAAGAUUUAUCGGUUUUGGAUGGACUCGCGGCCUAUCAGCUUGUUGGUGAGGUAAUGGCUCACCAAGGCGACGACGGGUAGCCGGCCCGAGAGGGUGACCGGCCACACUGGGACUGAGACACGGCAGAGACUCCUACGGGAGGCAGCAGUGGGGAAUAUUGCACCAUGGGCGCAAGCCUGAUGCAGCGACGCCGCGUGAGGGAUGACGGCCUUCGGGUUGUAAACCUCUUUCAGUAGGGAAGAAGCGAAAGUGACGGUACCUGCAGAAGAAGCACCGGCUAACUACGUG